This 448-nucleotide ribosomal RNA is filed under the name [Eubacterium] saphenum. RNAcentral's name for it is "bacterial SSU rRNA". It matches the Rfam family "Bacterial small subunit ribosomal RNA", at positions 28 to 474 of the family's 1533-position model. The record is from RNAcentral. Lineage: Bacteria; Bacillati; Bacillota; Clostridia; Peptostreptococcales; Anaerovoracaceae.
GAUGAACGCUGGCGGCGUGCUUAACACAUGCAAGUCGAGCGAGAAACUACAUGCAGACACUUCGGUAGAAGCGAGUAGCGGAAAGCGGCGGACGGGUGAGUAACGCGUAGGCAACCUGCCCUUCACAGAGGUAUAGCCUCGGGAAACCGGGAUUAAAACCACAUAAAAUCAUAGGUUCGCAUGAACCAAAGGUCAAAGAUUUAUCGGUGAAGGAUGGGCCUGCGUCUGAUUAGCUGGUUGGUAGGGUAAAAGCCUACCAAGGCGACGAUCAGUAGCCGACCUGAGAGGGUGAUCGGCCACAUUGGAACUGAGACACGGUCCAAACUCCUACGGGAGGCAGCAGUGGGGGAUAUUGCACAAUGGGGGAAACCCUGAUGCAGCAACGCCGCGUGAGGUAUGAAGGCCUUUGGGUUGUAAGCCUCUGUCCUAGGGGAAGAAAAAAAUGACG